Molecule: transfer RNA, 63 nt
Filed under: Parantica aglea aglea
Lineage: Eukaryota; Metazoa; Arthropoda; Insecta; Lepidoptera; Nymphalidae
Also listed under: 1 other name
Description: tRNA-Cys
Source: RNAcentral
AGUCUUAUAUUCAAUAAUGAUAUAAAAUUGCAAAUUUUAAGGUGAAUUUUUUUUCUAAGGCUU